UUGCAAUCAGCUGCGAAAAUUUACUAUGUGCAAUCCCAUGAUCCGGUCAAUUGGUUUGGUGCGUUUGAAAAAUGUGCUGCUCUAAACUUGCAAAUGGCGACUGUCAACUCAUGGGAAGAACAGCAACAGCUGGAAGGUGGCAUUGAAAAUUCAGACCAAGUUUGGUGGCCCAGAUGGAUUAGUGCAAAUGACCUUGCAUCCGAAGGUAAUUACGUAUGGAUGUCUACUGGACAACCACUGGACUAUACACAUUGGGCAGAAAACGAACCCAACAACGAAGACGGCCGUCAACAAUGCGUUCGCGCUUGGCCCAACGCGACCAUUGAUAGCUUUGCUUGGGAUGUUAUUGCCUGCGACUAUCUUCAUAACGUUGUUUGCGAAACAAAGCCAUAAAAAUUGUAUCUACUGAAAAAGUAAAAAUAUAUAAAUUUUAACAGUU
Molecule: long non-coding RNA, 439 nt
Organism: Dalotia coriaria
Lineage: Eukaryota; Metazoa; Arthropoda; Insecta; Coleoptera; Staphylinidae
Exons: 3
Source: RefSeq, a predicted model, not a curated record